AGUUGUGUUGUCUAUAGGUCACAGGUCAUUGACCGUCCCAAACCUGCCAGGUCAUUCAUGCAAUCACGCAGACCCUCGCAUUAGUCUUGAGUCUGUCCCCCCCUCUCUCCACUCACACGUCAGGGGUAUAAAGUGCCAGGCUUCGCGGGCAAGGUGGGCUUCAUCUCCUCCAUGUCGUACCACUUCUGUGGCUCCUGCAACCGCUUGCGGCUCACCGCAGACGGCAACCUCAAGGUUUGCCUGUUUGGCAACUCUGAGGUGUCCCUCAGGGAUGAGCUGCGCUCGGGGGCGACGGAGACGCAGCUGCUGGACAUCAUCGGUGCGGCGGUGGGACGGAAGAAGAAACAGCAUGCAGGCAUGUUGAACCUCUCUAAGAUGAAGAAUAGGCCCAUGAUCCUGAUCGGUGGGUGACGUUGCUGUACGUACAAACACCCAUGGACACAUAGAGACAGCAGCCUAAGCACACCGGCGUAUGAUCUAGGCCACUGUUUCUCAACCUGUGGGUCGGCUACCCAGAGGUCUCUCUUUCUGCGCAAAGUCCCCCCGGCCGUGAAGAGAGCUUCCCUUCGCCCAUCG
Molecule: RNA transcript, 576 nt
Organism: Gadus morhua (Atlantic cod)
Lineage: Eukaryota; Metazoa; Chordata; Actinopteri; Gadiformes; Gadidae
Gene name: molybdenum cofactor biosynthesis protein 1-like
Exons: 4
Source: RefSeq, a predicted model, not a curated record